RNAcentral lists this ribosomal RNA (1591 nucleotides) under metagenome. RNAcentral describes it as "bacterial LSU rRNA". It matches the Rfam family "Bacterial large subunit ribosomal RNA", at positions 1310 to 2925 of the family's 2925-position model. The record is from RNAcentral.
UUGAGAUGGAGGUGGGAAUCCUCCAGGCCGAAUAUCCAAGGUUUCCAGAGUAAAGCUGAUCUGCUCUGGGUAAGUCGGGACCUAAGGCGAGGCCGAGAGGCGUAGCCGAUGGACAACAGGUUGAGAUUCCUGUACUGCUGUAUAUCAGAACUGUGGGGACACAGAGGGAAAGCACAGGCGCGGAACGGAAAGCCGCGUGCAAGCGAGGUACCGGACUGGUAGGAAAAACCGCCAGUCAACGGGAAGGCGUGAUGCGUACCGAAAACAAGUAGGGAAGUGUGUGAGCCAGCUGUCAAGAAAAGCCGCUAUUGUGUAUACAGUACCCGUACCGUAAACCGACACAGGUGGAUGAGGAGAGAAUCCUAAGGCCGGCGGAAGAAGUAUUGUCAAGGAACUCGGCAAAAUGACCCUGUAACUUCGGGAGAAAGGGUGCCUCGAAAGAGGCCGCAGAGAAUCGGCCCAAGCAACUGUUUAGCAAAAACACAGGUCUAUGCGAAACCGAAAGGUGAGGUAUAUGGGCUGACGCCUGCCCGGUGCUGGAAGGUUAAGGGGAGAUGUUAGAGCAAUCGAAGCAUUGAACUUAAGCCCCAGUAAACGGCGGCCGUAACAAUAACGGUCCUAAGGUAGCGAAAUUCCUUGUCGGGUAAGUUCCGACCCGCACGAAAGGCGUAAUGAUUUGGGCGCUGUCUCGACAAUACAUCCGGUGAAAUUGAAGUACCAGUGAAGAUGCUGGUUACCCGCGCCAGGACGGAAAGACCCCAUGGAGCUUUACUCCAGCUUGAUACUGGGAUUCGGUAUUGCAUGUACAGGAUAGGUGGGAGGCUAAGAAGCAAGGACGCCAGUCUUUGUGGAGCCGCUGUUGGGAUACCACCCUUGCGGUAUUGGAUUUCUAACCAGCCGCCGUGAAACCGGCGGUGGGACAAUGUCAGGCGGGGAGUUUGACUGGGGCGGUCGCCUCCGAAAGGGUAUCGGAGGCGCCCAAAGGUUUCCUCAGAAUGGUUGGAAACCAUUCGAAGAGUGCAAAGGCAGAAGGGAGCUUGACUGUGACACCGACGGGUGGAGCAGGUACGAAAGUAGGGCUUAGUGAUCCGGUGGUAUUAAGUGGGAAUGCCAUCGCUCAACGGAUAAAAGCUACCCUGGGAUAACAGGCUUAUCACUCCCAAGAGUUCACAUCGACGGAGUGGUUUGGCACCUCGAUGUCGGCUCAUCGCAUCCUGGGGCUGUAGUAGGUCCCAAGGGUUGGGCUGUUCGCCCAUUAAAGCGGUACGCGAGCUGGGUUCAGAACGUCGUGAGACAGUUCGGUCCCUAUCCGGCGUGGGCGCAGGAUAUUUGAGAGGAGCUGUCCUUAGUACGAGAGGACCGGGAUGGACUGACCUCUGGUGCACCGGUUGUUCCGCCAGGAGCAUAGCCGGGUAGCCAAGUCGGGAAGGGAUAAACGCUGAAGGCAUCUAAGCGUGAAGCCCCCCUCAAGAUGAGAUAUCCCAUGCGAAAGCGAUAAGACCCCUUGAAGACGACGAGGUAGAUAGGUCAGAGGUGGAAGCACAGCAAUGUGUGGAGCUGACUGAUACUAAUAGGUCGAAGGCUUACCAAA